GUAGUGAAGCGUAAUCAAUAAGACACUCAAUUUCGAAUUUUUUGAUGAUACGUUAUUUUGCAUUUCAGAAAUUUACAGUGGCAUGAAUGAAACACGGAAUAAAAUGGAACAUGAGUGAAACAAAAUAUUAAUAUUGGUUAAAACUGGUUUAUAUAUGACCGCAGAACCAGAAAAUGUUGAACAUAAUUAAUAUUAUGUAUGUAAUUUGAAGUAGUGAAGCGUAAUCAAUAAGACACUCAAUUUCGAAUUUUUUGAUGAUACGUUAUUUUGCAUUUCAGGUGACGAUAUGUAUAUAUAAAUAAUCAUCUAAUGCAAAGUGUUAUGUAACACAGAGAGGAAACCUGUUGAUCAAAUGAGUGAAUAUAAUUAAAAGCUCAGGGAUUUUAUAAAAUUUUAAUAAAUUGUAUUGGGACUUCUCUCAAUAAUAAUCGUUUUGAAAGGCCACAAAAAAGUUUUGGAUAGGGCUGCGUGCGAACCAAGUUCAGUAUAUUUACGAAAAAUGUAAUUAAUGAAAGCAACCUUAAGCAAAAUUGCGUAAGAGACACUUACAACGCGCAUGCAAUCAAGAAAUACAUGUAUUUAUGCGACUAAAUAAAAAGUAUAGUAAAGUAAACAAUAACAGUAUAUUACAGCAUUUACUGUAGAGGCGUGUGUCCAAGCACCACGGCGUAUACGCAACCCAUAAAUUCGCAGCUUUGCAGACAACUUGCAUAACGCGGCAACAAAAACAACAGUUUGUGUACACAAAAGACGAUACUAACUCUUACUCAUUGAUAAUUCGCUUUAUCAUUAUGUACACUUGAGUAAUUUGUAUUUUUUUUUUCAUUUUCUUCUUUGCCUCGACUUUCCAAACGCUCAAUGGGGCGGUUCGUUGACGGUUCGCGCUUGUUGCCUGCUACAGUUUUUGUUGUCAAACGUCAGCGCAAUGUCUUUAACCUCCAGUUAGCUGGCAGUCAGUCAUCAGCAACUGCUAUUGUAUUACCGGAAACUUUGAUAUGACCGAGACAAUAUCGCGCUGGCGCUGGCUAAAUAAACGUGCUGCAGUUGCGGUUUUUGCGGCCGCGAAGUUGCAGGCAAUGAAACACAAGCGAACAGAAGAAGUGAAGGAAGGUGCGGAUAAGCAAGCUAAGAUGCAGGCAACUUAAUAAGUUCAAAGAUGGGUUUAAGAAGGUAUCAGGCGUAACUCAUGUG
This is a long non-coding RNA of Bactrocera dorsalis (oriental fruit fly), 1191 nucleotides long. RefSeq lists it as uncharacterized. The record is from RefSeq and is a predicted model, not a curated record. The transcript has 2 exons. NCBI's taxonomy places the organism in Eukaryota, Metazoa, Arthropoda, Insecta, Diptera, Tephritidae.